UACGUAGGGUGCGAGCAUUAAUCGGAAUUACUGGGCGUAAAGCGUGCGCAGGCGGUGAUGUAAGACAGAUGGGAAAUCCCCGGGCUCAACCUGGGAACUGCAUUUGUGACUGCAUCGCUGGAGUGCGGCAGAGGGGGAUGGAAUUCCGCGUGUAGCAGUGAAAUGCGUAGAUAUGCGGAGGAACACCGAUGGCGAAGGCAAUCCCCUGGGCCUGCACUGACGCUCAUGCACGAAAGCGUGGGGGCAAACAGG
Molecule: ribosomal RNA, 252 nt
Filed under: uncultured bacterium
Lineage: Bacteria
Description: partial 16S ribosomal RNA
Rfam family: Bacterial small subunit ribosomal RNA
Source: RNAcentral